GACGGACGCUGGCGGCGUGCCUAAUACAUGCAAGUCGAGCGGACGGAUGGGAGCUUGCUCCCAGACCGUCAGCGGCGGACGGGUGAGUAACACGUGGGCAACCUGCCUGUAAGACUGGGAUAACUCCGGGAAACCGGGGCUAAUACCGGAUAACUCUUUCCCUCACAUGAGGGAAAGCUGAAAGAUGGCAUCUCGCUAUCACUUACAGAUGGGCCCGCGGCGCAUUAGCUAGUUGGUGAGGUAACGGCUCACCAAGGCGACGAUGCGUAGCCGACCUGAGAGGGUGAUCGGCCACACUGGGACUGAGACACGGCCCAGACUCCUACGGGAGGCAGCAGUAGGGAAUCUUCCGCAAUGGACGAAAGUCUGACGGAGCAACGCCGCGUGAGUGAUGAAGGUUUUCGGAUCGUAAAACUCUGUUGUCAGGGAAGAACAAGUACCGGAGUAACUGCCGGUACCUUGACGGUACCUGACCAGAAAGCCACGGCUAACUACGUG
This 498-nucleotide ribosomal RNA is filed under the name uncultured bacterium. Its description in RNAcentral is "partial 16S ribosomal RNA". It matches the Rfam family "Bacterial small subunit ribosomal RNA", at positions 28 to 507 of the family's 1533-position model. The record is from RNAcentral.